CGGCCCCCCAGCCAGGGGUCCUUACUAGGCUGGCGGCUCUCGGCCCCUUCGCCUUCCCUCGCAAACCUACCCCCACCUCCAACACUCCGAGCGGACUCAGCGCAAGGAAGGAAACCCGGAACGGGGGCGGCGGCCCGAGGCGCACGCACGCUACCAGCUUCCGGCAAUCCACGGGUUAAAACGAAGCGGCGGCGCGCGCGGAGGGGAGAGGCGGUUGCUGACAGGUGGCGCCUGCGCACUGGGAUCGCUCAUUGUGCCCCGCAGCUGCCUAGCCGCCCGCCCGCCGCCCGUUCGGCGAGUCAGUCGGCGGAGAGUCCAGUGGUGGGUGCGGAUCUUGAGAUCGUUCCUGCGGCCUCUUCUUCCUCCCCGUUCCCCUCACCCUACCCCACACCCUUUACCUUCUUCCCAGCUCCGUCACCCUCCCGCCCCCCACACUCGAGACGAGAAUGCCCUGCCCGGAACAACCUAGCAGCGCCUAGAUGGCUUUGGUCACGGUCCAGCGGUCGCCUACCCCCAGCACCACCUCCAGCCCCUGCGCCUCGCUCCAUUCACAAUUAGAAGCCAGUAUUUUUCUCAUAGGAUGAUUAUGGUAAGAUAUUGUUGUUUAAGAUGUGGCAACCUCAGAUAUAAAAGCCUCUGUCUUUGAGAAGCAUGUGUUAGUCAAUAUUUAUUACCUUGCCUCUCACCUGUUGUUCCUCUCCUACUUCUGUACCUUCUCACAGUUAAAGAAAAAAUAAAACGCCAACCUUCUUUUACUGGUGCAAAUAGAUAAAGGGAUAUAAGAAAUUACAUUUAUUGAAGUUGAAGGAAGACAUCUCUUUGCAGCUUGCUGACUGGUACAAUGAUUUUCUUAUUGUUGCUUCAGACAUUUUAUAGACACAUCAAGAAUUUGGGAGAGCUCUUUCUUCAGAUUACAGUACUUAGCAUUAUCUCAGGUGAGAGUUACUAUAAACUACAUGUACCAUCUCAUAACACAUUAUCUCAAUCUGUUUAGGAAGAUCACUAAUUCUUUUGAGAAAGUGGUUGUGGUUUAGAAUAAAAGUAAUAACUGGAAUAAAGGC
Molecule: long non-coding RNA, 1061 nt
Filed under: Fukomys damarensis (Damara mole-rat)
Lineage: Eukaryota; Metazoa; Chordata; Mammalia; Rodentia; Bathyergidae
Description: lncRNA (ENSFDAG00000026352.1)
Source: RNAcentral